GCAGGUGGCAAGCGUUGUCCGGAAUUAUUGGGCGUAAAGCGCGCGCAGGUGGUUCUUUAAGUCUGAUGUGAAAGCCCCCGGGCUCAACCGGGGAGGGUCAUUGGAAACUGGGGAACUUGAGUGCAGGAGAGGAAAGUGGAAUUCCACGUGUAGCGGUGAAAUGCGUAGAUAUGUGGAGGAACACCAGUGGCGAAGGCGACUUUCUGGCCUGUAACUGACACUGAGGCGCGAAAGCGUGGGGAGCAAACAGGAUUAGAUACCCUGGUAGUCCACGCCGUAAACGAUGAGUGCUAAGUGUUGGGGGGUUUCCGCCCCUCAGUGCUGCAGCUAACGCAUUAAGCACUCCGCCUGGGGAGUACGGUCGCAAAGACUG
This 373-nucleotide ribosomal RNA is filed under the name uncultured organism. Its description in RNAcentral is "partial 16S ribosomal RNA". It matches the Rfam family "Bacterial small subunit ribosomal RNA", at positions 527 to 896 of the family's 1533-position model. The record is from RNAcentral.